RNAcentral lists this non-coding RNA (84 nucleotides) under pig gut metagenome. RNAcentral's name for it is "Glycine riboswitch". It matches the Rfam family "Glycine riboswitch aptamer", at positions 9 to 86 of the family's 94-position model. From Rfam's summary of the family: This family represents the bacterial glycine riboswitch. Glycine riboswitches usually consist of two metabolite-binding aptamers domains with similar structures in tandem. The record is from RNAcentral.
UACUUUGGAGACAUCUGCACAUGCAGAGGCCGAAGGGGCAAUGCCGGUUGAUCCGGUAAAAUCUCUCAGGCAAAAGGACAAAGC